Molecule: long non-coding RNA, 111 nt
Organism: Phyllostomus discolor (pale spear-nosed bat)
Lineage: Eukaryota; Metazoa; Chordata; Mammalia; Chiroptera; Phyllostomidae
Exons: 3
Source: RefSeq, a predicted model, not a curated record
AUUCAGUUAUAUUAAACAAAGAUUAUUUUGACCAGGAGAGCCAUAAAUCAGACAAUUAGAAAUAGCUGUACGUAGAGUUUAAAUGUCUUAUUGAUGAAUAUGAUAUUUAUU